GAGUGGACUCUUUCAAUAUAUUAUAAAUGAAUAAUUUUGGUCUUAGUUAUUAUAAAAUUUAUAAUAAAUUUUUAUUUAAAAAUUAUAUUAAUAUUAUAAAUCAUAAAAUUUGUCAAUCUCACCGACUUGCAAAUUACGGAUUGGUUAAAAAUUUUAAGAAAUUAUAGCACGAGUAACCGAAACCAAGAACAUAUUUAUAUAUAAAUCUUAUCUAAAUAAUUUAGGGCUUUUUUAAUAGAUACUCGAGCCUAAAAGAAUUUUUACUAAAAUAAUAUCAAUUUUUAAAACAAAUUGCAAAAAUACAAUCUUUCAAAUAAAAAUUGAAAAAAUACGGAGGUUGCAUUUGCAAUCAUUUGUGCAACUACUGGCAAGCACAAAUGCAACUUUGACAAAAUCUAUUAAAAAUAUAUUUAUUUGCAUAAUAAGCAAGUGGUUGAAAAUGGCGAAAAUGAGUGCUCCUGCGGGGCUGGCAUUAAUAUCACAAAAUCAACUCAAAACAAUCAUGAAAUCAACUAAAAGCAACUGAUUAAGAUGAACAAGAUGGAGAAAUAGAGAUGAUGAUGGAGAAGAGAGGUGGCAAUGAUUGAGUGUCGUCUCGCAGCGAAGUCGGGACUGCUAGGAAAGGAGUGGGUUGUGUAUAUCGGAGGGAGGAGGGGUUGGACUGGUGGUGUGGUGCGCCGCCGAUCGUUGUAGAUGGCCAGCCUACAACUGUGUCGGUGUAUGCAAAGAUGUCGAGAUGGAGAUGAGAAAGUGAGGAGAGUGAUGUCGAGUGAUUGCAAAAAUGAUGUACAUUAGAAUGGGGGUUCAAAAGUCGGCAGUAGUGAGAGUAAUUUGAGAUUGUUGAUGGCAUGAGGACUUCGACGGUGGCGACACCGCCAAAGGGAGUGGUUAGCGUGGGUUAGUGAUUGGAGGGUGAUAGGAGUUGUUUGACAGAAGACAUGAUAUGUGGUGGUUGGUUCAGCAUAAGCAGGCCGUAAAGGAAGUGGCUGAGUAUGAAGGGCUGCAAAGCAGUAAGCGGUGGUCGAGUGUAGGAAAAAGAUAGUGCAAGAUGAAGAUAAAAUAUUCACAAUUUAAUUGAUUGUAUGUUUGAAAGAUAGUAAAUUUGCUAGAUUUUAAACGAUAUGAUAUAUUUACAAAUAUAUAUCUAAAAGUUGGUAUAUUUGUCAAAUUCUCAAUAAUUCAUGAGCGUUUAUAUCUUCG
This 1200-nucleotide long non-coding RNA is filed under the name Daucus carota (carrot). Its description in RNAcentral is "long non-coding RNA (DCAR_LNC002442)". Lineage: Eukaryota; Viridiplantae; Streptophyta; Magnoliopsida; Apiales; Apiaceae. The record is from RNAcentral.